GCAGAAUUGAGGUCUGUCGCUGCGUGAUAUCCUUGUCUGGUAUCACGGAGAGGAAAGUCCGGGCAACACAGAGCACCGCACAUCCUAACAGGAAGCCGGCGGCGACGUCGAGGCAAGUGUGACAGAAAACAACCGCCUCCGUUUGAUGUAUCAUCUCGGAGGCAAGGGUGAAAAGGCGGGGUAAGAGCCCACCGGCUCCGGUGGCGACACCGGAGGCCGCACAUCCUGCGGGUUGCAAGGCCAAAUAUACCGGCAACGAAGGAUUGCUCGUCCAUUGCCGGGGGGUAGGCUGCUCCAGCCGGCGGGAGACCGUCGGUGUAGAUAAAUGACAGACUCCGGCUAUUCUUGCCGGAACAUAACCCGGCUUAUAUCUUUUCUGCAUUC
This 384-nucleotide RNase P RNA is filed under the name Muribaculaceae bacterium. RNAcentral describes it as "RNase P RNA component class A". It matches the Rfam family "Bacterial RNase P class A". From Rfam's summary of the family: Ribonuclease P (RNase P) is a ubiquitous endoribonuclease, found in archaea, bacteria and eukarya as well as chloroplasts and mitochondria. Its best characterised activity is the generation of mature 5'-ends of tRNAs by cleaving the 5'-leader elements of precursor-tRNAs. Cellular RNase Ps are ribonucleoproteins. The record is from RNAcentral. Lineage: Bacteria; Pseudomonadati; Bacteroidota; Bacteroidia; Bacteroidales; Muribaculaceae.